UACGUAGGGGGCAAGCGUUGUCCGGAUUUAUUGGGCGUAAAGAGCUCGUAGGCGGCUUGUCACGUCGGAUGUGAAAGCCCGAGGCUUAACCUCGGGUCUGCAUUCGAUACGGGCUAGCUAGAGUGUGGUAGGGGAGAUCGGAAUUCCUGGUGUAGCGGUGAAAUGCGCAGAUAUCAGGAGGAACACCGGUGGCGAAGGCGGAUCUCUGGGCCAUUACUGACGCUGAGGAGCGAAAGCGUGGGGAGCGAACAGG
RNAcentral lists this ribosomal RNA (253 nucleotides) under uncultured bacterium. RNAcentral describes it as "partial 16S ribosomal RNA". It matches the Rfam family "Bacterial small subunit ribosomal RNA", at positions 524 to 776 of the family's 1533-position model. The record is from RNAcentral.